UCCCUGGUGGCUCAGUGGUAGAGAAUCCGCCUACAAUGUAGGAAACCCAGGUUCGAUCCCUGGGUGGGGAA
RNAcentral lists this transfer RNA (71 nucleotides) under Ovis aries (sheep). It matches the Rfam family "tRNA". From Rfam's summary of the family: Transfer RNA (tRNA) molecules are approximately 80 nucleotides in length. Their secondary structure includes four short double-helical elements and three loops (D, anti-codon, and T loops). The record is from Rfam by way of RNAcentral. Lineage: Eukaryota; Metazoa; Chordata; Mammalia; Artiodactyla; Bovidae.